RNAcentral lists this unclassified non-coding RNA (273 nucleotides) under Serendipitaceae sp. RNAcentral describes it as "partial contains internal transcribed spacer 1". Lineage: Eukaryota; Fungi; Basidiomycota; Agaricomycetes; Sebacinales; Serendipitaceae. The record is from RNAcentral.
AAGUCGUAACAAGGUUUCCGUAGCGCAAGUUAUGGUUCAGUAAUGAAUCCUUCUGCAGAUACACUUACCGAAGCCUCAGCAGCCCGAAAGGGUACACCGGCGACUAUAAUCAAUAAGGUGGAUAAUUGCUAGUCUGUUCCUUACUUUCAAUUAGGAAUGGGCAACACCGUCAAAUUGCGGGGAAAUCCUUAAGCUUGAACUACCGCAGCUCGUCGAAAGAUAGAGUGCGCACCAGGGUAAUGACCUCGGGUAUGGUAAAAACGUUCAAGAUUG